Molecule: long non-coding RNA, 1027 nt
Organism: Rhinolophus ferrumequinum (greater horseshoe bat)
Lineage: Eukaryota; Metazoa; Chordata; Mammalia; Chiroptera; Rhinolophidae
Exons: 3
Source: RefSeq, a predicted model, not a curated record
CAGCAGAUGUUCUCUGAGUGUGUAUCACGUGCAGGAAGUAGCUCUGGGUCACGCUGACAAGCAAUAGCCGGGCUCUUAUCUGCAAAGAACCACUGAUUUUACUGGAAAGAUUGGAUACCACCCAUGAGAAGGAAAAGAGCGGUGCAAUGUGCUUUACAAAAUGAGAGCCAGAGGGCAGGGGAAGCAGAGGGAGUUCAAAGGACAGAAGCCUCUUGGAGAGGACUGCGCACUACAAACAGGUGCUCAGUGCUGUUUGUCCUUGUGCUGACGGAUCCAGGCACUGAGGAACACGGUAUGUCCUUAUGGAACCUUCACAGUUCUGCCAGGUAGGUGUCGUCUGUCUUCUACAGGUGAAGACCUGAGGCUGAGAGAGGAGUGCCUUGUCUCGAAUGUGUGCACCUGGUGGCUGCGGAUGGGAACCCAGGUAUCACUGGCUGCAAAGUCCGCAUGCUGUCCCCAGAAGAACCACCUGCCGUCAGAGGAUGAGCUCAGUUGUACAUGUUGAGUUUUCCAAGAUGGUGGACUUCCAGACUGGGAACUCAUUGAUGCUCCAUUGAUCUUUGUGUGACCCAAGAAAAACUCAGAGUUGUUCAGGCUGAUUUCAGUGCAGAGGUCGCCUCGGCACAGAAAUGGGAAUCUUAAAGCAGUUGUGCUGUCACGUGUCACCUUACUUCCCUGGAACUUCGGUUUUCUCUUUUAAAAAGUUUCAAAUGAUUUUUUUCUAUUUUAAUUUUUAUAUAUUUAAAAGUUAAAAAAUAUAUUUCCCAGUUAUCCAUUUCCUCUGAUUUUGCUUGAGGACUUGCCGCUUGCGUUCCCAUUGGGUGCAGUCCAGUGAAGGUGGGGUGGGGUUUACAGCCAGGAGUCUCCCUCACCAUAUCAAAGGGAGUCAUGUGACCCAAGUCAGACCCAACUGGAUGCUGCUUCCUCUGGAAAUGGAAUCUGAGGCAAAAGAAAAAAGAGGUGAUACAUGAGUAGAGCUCUGUUCUGUCCUCCCCAGUUCCCCCUGUGGGACCUUUCAUGUUAGGAU